CUCGUAGGCGGUUCGUCGCGUCCGGUGUGAAAGUCCAUCGCUUAACGGUGGAUCCGCGCCGGGUACGGGCGGGCUUGAGUGCGGUAGGGGAGACUGGAAUUCCCGGUGUAACGGUGGAAUGUGUAGAUAUCGGGAAGGACACCAAUGGCGAAGGCAGGUCUCUGGGCCGUUACUAACGCUGAGGAGCGAAAGCGUGGGGAGCGAACA
RNAcentral lists this ribosomal RNA (207 nucleotides) under uncultured bacterium. Its description in RNAcentral is "partial 16S ribosomal RNA". It matches the Rfam family "Bacterial small subunit ribosomal RNA", at positions 568 to 774 of the family's 1533-position model. The record is from RNAcentral.